RNAcentral lists this microRNA precursor (136 nucleotides) under Hordeum vulgare. RNAcentral describes it as "microRNA MIR1122". It matches the Rfam family "MIR1120/MIR1122 microRNA precursor family". The record is from RNAcentral. Lineage: Eukaryota; Viridiplantae; Streptophyta; Magnoliopsida; Poales; Poaceae.
AUAAUACUCCCUCCAUCUUAAAUUUUUUGUUUUAGAUUUGUUUAGAUACGAAUGUAUCCAGUAAAGUUUUAGUAUUUAGAUAUAUUUAUUUCUAGAUAAAGCUAAGAUAAAAAUUUUGAGACGGAGGGAGUAGUUU